AUUGAACGCUGGCGGCAGGCCUAACACAUGCAAGUCGAACGGUAACAGGAAGAAGCUUGCUUCUUUGCUGACGAGUGGCGGACGGGUGAGUAAUGUCUGGGAAACUGCCUGAUGGAGGGGGAUAACUACUGGAAACGGUAGCUAAUACCGCAUAACGUCGCAAGACCAAAGAGGGGGACCUUCUGGCCUCUUGCCAUCGGAUGUGCCCAGGUGGGGUUGGCUAGUAGGUGGGGUAACGGCUCACCUAGGCGACCAUCCGUAGCUGGUCUGAGAGUAUGGGCAGCCGCCCUGGAAGGUGAACAGGGACCAGACGCCUACGGGAGGCAGCAGUGGGGAAUAGUGCGCAAUGGGCGCAAGCCUGAUGCAGCGAUGCGGAGUGUAUGAAGACGGCCUUGGGGUCGUAAAGUAGUUUCAGCGGGUAGGAAGCGAGUAAAGCUGAGACCUUUGCUGAUUGACGGUACCCGGAGAAGAAGCACCGGCUAACUACGUG
This 490-nucleotide ribosomal RNA is filed under the name uncultured bacterium. Its description in RNAcentral is "partial 16S ribosomal RNA". It matches the Rfam family "Bacterial small subunit ribosomal RNA", at positions 29 to 507 of the family's 1533-position model. The record is from RNAcentral.